GAUGAAGAACGCAGCGAAAUGCGAUAAGUAAUGUGAAUUGCAGAAUUCAGUGAAUCAUCGAAUAUUUGAACGCACAUUGCGCCCCUUGGUAUUCCGGGGGGCAUGCCCGUUCGAGCGUCAUUAUCACCCCUCAAGCCCUCGGCUUGGUGUUGGACGGUUUGGUGGAGGCCCCCUCGGGGGCUCCUGCCCCUCCCAAAGACAAUGACGGCGGCCUCGUUGGACCCCCGGUACACUGAGUUCUUCACGGGACACGUAUCGGACACAUGGGUUUACGGGACACGGUCUGCCUCCCCUCAGGGAGAAUCUUUCUAAGGUUGACCUCGGAUCAGGUAGGGAUACCCGCUGAACUUAAGCAUAUCAAUAAGCGGAGGA
RNAcentral lists this unclassified non-coding RNA (372 nucleotides) under soil metagenome. Its description in RNAcentral is "partial contains 5.8S ribosomal RNA, internal transcribed spacer 2, and large subunit ribosomal RNA". The stretch from base 1 to 120 matches the Rfam family "5.8S ribosomal RNA", at positions 35 to 154 of the family's 154-position model. The record is from RNAcentral.